This 696-nucleotide ribosomal RNA is filed under the name uncultured bacterium. RNAcentral describes it as "bacterial SSU rRNA". It matches the Rfam family "Bacterial small subunit ribosomal RNA", at positions 32 to 715 of the family's 1533-position model. The record is from RNAcentral.
AACGCUAGCUACAGGCUUAACACAUGCAAGUCGAGGGGCAGCAUGGUCUUAGCUUGCUAAGGCUGAUGGCGACCGGCGCACGGGUGAGUAACACGUAUCCAACCUGCCGUCUACUCUUGGCCAGCCUUCUGAAAGGAAGAUUAAUCCAGGAUGGCAUCAUGAGUUCACAUGUCCGCAUGAUUAAAGGUAUUUUCCGGUAGACGAUGGGGAUGCGUUCCAUUAGAUAGUAGGCGGGGUAACGGCCCACCUAGUCAACGAUGGAUAGGGGUUCUGAGAGGAAGGUCCCCCACAUUGGAACUGAGACACGGUCCAAACUCCUACGGGAGGCAGCAGUGAGGAAUAUUGGUCAAUGGACGCGAGUCUGAACCGGCCAAGUAGCGUGAAGGAUGACUGCCCUAUGGGUUGUAAACUUCUUUUAUAUGGGAAUAAAGUUGUCCACGUGUGGAUUUUUGUAUGUACCAUAUGAAUAAGGAUCGGCUAACUCCGUGCCAGCAGCCGCGGUAAUACGGAGGAUCCAAGCGUUAUCCGGAUUUAUUGGGUUUAAAGGGAGCGUAGGUUGACAUAUAAGUCAGCUGUGAAAGUUUACGGCUCAACCGUGAAAUUGCAGUUGAUACUGUAUGUCUUGAGUGUACAAGAGGUGGGCGGAAUUCGUGGUGUAGCGGUGAAAUGCUUAGAUAUCACGAAGAACUCCGAUUG